RNAcentral lists this ribosomal RNA (500 nucleotides) under uncultured bacterium. RNAcentral describes it as "partial 16S ribosomal RNA". It matches the Rfam family "Bacterial small subunit ribosomal RNA", at positions 30 to 523 of the family's 1533-position model. The record is from RNAcentral.
AUUGAACGCUGGCGGCAUGCUUUACACAUGCAAGUCGAACGGUAACAGGGUGCUUGCACCGCUGACGAGUGGCGAACGGGUGAGUAAUGCGUCGGAACGUGCCAAGUAGUGGGGGAUAACGCAGCGAAAGUUGUGCUAAUACCGCAUACGUACUGAGGUAGAAAGUGGGGGACCUUCGGGCCUCACGCUAUUCGAGCGGCCGACGUCUGAUUAGCUAGUAGGUGAGGUAAAGGCUCACCUAGGCGACGAUCAGUAGCGGGUCUGAGAGGAUGAUCCGCCACACUGGGACUGAGACACGGCCCAGACUCCUACGGGAGGCAGCAGUGGGGAAUUUUGGACAAUGGGCGAAAGCCUGAUCCAGCCAUGCCGCGUGUCUGAAGAAGGCCUUCGGGUUGUAAAGGACUUUUGUCGGGGAGGAAAUCCCCAGCGUUAAUACCGCUGGGGGAUGACAGUACCUGAAGAAUAAGCACCGGCUAACUACGUGCCAGCAGCCGCAGUAA